Molecule: ribosomal RNA, 119 nt
Filed under: Gadus morhua (Atlantic cod)
Lineage: Eukaryota; Metazoa; Chordata; Actinopteri; Gadiformes; Gadidae
Source: RNAcentral
GCUUACGGCCUUACCAACUUGGGCACGCCCGAUCUCGUCUGAUCUCGGAAGCAAAGCAGGGUCGGGCCUGGUUAGUACUUGGAUGGGUGACCGCCUGGGAAUACCAGGUGCUGUAAGCA